GACGAACGCUGGCGGCGUGCUUAACACAUGCAAGUCGAACGGAAAGGCCCUGCUUUUGUGGGGUGCUCGAGUGGCGAACGGGUGAGUAACACGUGAGUAACCUGCCCUUGACUUUGGGAUAACUUCAGGAAACUGGGGCUAAUACCGGAUAGGAGCUCCUGCUGCAUGGUGGGGGUUGGAAAGUUUCGGCGGUUGGGGAUGGACUCGCGGCUUAUCAGCUUGUUGGUGGGGUAGUGGCUUACCAAGGCUUUGACGGGUAGCCGGCCUGAGAGGGUGACCGGCCACAUUGGGCCUGAGAUACGGCCCAGACUCCUACGGGAGGCAGCAGUGGGGAAUAUUGCACAAUGGGCGGAAGCCUGAUGCAGCAACGCCGCGUGCGGGAUGACGGCCUUCGGGUUGUAAACCGCUUUCGCAUGUGACGAAGCGUGAGUGACGGUAAUGGGUAAAGAAGCACCGGCUAACUACGUG
RNAcentral lists this ribosomal RNA (468 nucleotides) under uncultured bacterium. RNAcentral's name for it is "partial 16S ribosomal RNA". It matches the Rfam family "Bacterial small subunit ribosomal RNA", at positions 28 to 507 of the family's 1533-position model. The record is from RNAcentral.